This 2051-nucleotide long non-coding RNA is filed under the name Citrus maxima (pomelo). RNAcentral's name for it is "long non-coding RNA (CMAX_LNC001113)". Lineage: Eukaryota; Viridiplantae; Streptophyta; Magnoliopsida; Sapindales; Rutaceae. The record is from RNAcentral.
CCUAAUGUCGUGGAUCGUUCCACAUAGGUCAAGAAACUGCUAUUAUAGAUCACCAGUAUUGGACGAGUAAGAUGACAGAAUAUCAUACAUGAAAAUGGAAUAAUUUUGAAGUUAGAGGUAAAUGCAAUAUUUUUGAAGCUAGAAGUGAGUUUGGGCAGCAUCUGCUCAAUAUUAGCAACUGAUGAAAAUAAAAUGUUGGAAUCAUGGAGUACACAUAAAAGACGUGCAGAAAUCAACAAAAUAUAAAUCCAAAGACAUAUAAAAUACAAAAAAGCAUGCACUUCUUUUACCAUCUUUCAAGAAUUGCACAAGUUUAAUUUAGGAUAUACUGCACAUAUUAUAGUAAACCUGUGCCGUAUAAGGUUGUUAAGAGAUAAAUCAACAGGUGGCAUAAAGGGUGUUCAUGCAACUUACAAUGGGCUGAAACACAUGAGAGGUAAAGAUGAAAGCUCAAAACAUUAAGAAGAAAAAUCACACAAGGAGAAAAUUCCAACUUUUGCUACUUUUCCCUAGAUCACUGUGCUGAAAAGCAGGAACUAAUUUUUUUACAUUCGAAAAGGAAAUUUAACCUGUAAAUAUAAGCUUGAUAUAUCCUCCACAUCUUCCAGACUAAAAACUUUAAGUACAUCUGGACGCGAAUAUAAUGCAUUAGAGAUAACAGCAUCUACAAUACUUAUGUGACUUCGUCCUCCAUGCACCAUUGUGAAUUUUAUUAGUUCCUGCAUAAAUUAGAAUCAAUAAUAAAGUUUAUUAUCCCAACAAUGUUUCAUAACAUUUAUAAAAAAAAAAAAAUGAACUGAUAUCAAAACAUGCCAACUAUCUUUCUAUGCAUAUAUUGUCACAUAAAGGCUAUGCCAAUCUUACCCAGGGACAUAAUUCUACAAAUUAUCCACAGUUUGGUUGACAAAUAAUCAUGUGUGGAAAAAACUAUGGCUAGAUAAUGGAUCGAAUACCUCUAAAAGCAAUUUGCAGUUUGGCACAUGUUUGAUACCAUCUAUUAAAAUGUCUCUGGCAUUGUCUGCACUACCAGUAGUCUAUAAAUUGAAGAAGCUGUCAGUAAAAAAUUUAUAACUGCAUUUAAGACCAACAUUUAAAUGAAAAAGAAGAGGAAGAAAGAAAGAAAGCUAAAGCAAUUUGAUUGCUUUUAUUCAUCAGCAUCUCCUCACACAAGCAACCUCCAACAUAAUUUUAUAGAUAUUUAAAGCAAUCACUUAUAAGCAGAUAAGAGUGACACUCAAGUAAUUAUAUUGAAACAUGUGCAAUGUAUGAUUAAAAGAAACGACUUCAAAAACAGACAUUAACUGGGUACUGAUUAAUGAACAAGUAUAUUGAAAUAGUGAAAAGAUUAACACAGCAGAAAGACUGAAAACUUGGAUGUGCAUGAAUGGCUUACCGUGUAUGUAAGUCGUGAAAAUUGAACAUAUAACAGAGGAAGGGUAUGAAACUUUCUCUGUUCUGCAGCAGUUUCCAAUGCUUCUUUGUAUGUAUCACAAGCUGCCACAAAAUUUCCCUAACAAUUACGCAAAAGAAUGACAGAUAUGAGAAAUCACUCCAAAUAUAGACGAUACAUAAGUGAAGCUUUUUUCUUAAUGAUACACAUAAAAAAAAAGGAAUUGAUUACAUACCAGACGUCUUUCCAUGUUAGCUUUAAAUGUUACUUUUUCAAUAAAUCUUGAAUCUGAGUCAAUAUAACUUUCAGGAAAGGCAGCACGUGCAGCAGAUGUGUCUCCUAUUUGCUCCUUAUACCUGGCAUUGAAAAGAUGGAUCACCGGCAGUCUCUGCAAUGAGCAUGUGAGAAGGGGCACAAUCAUAAUCUGGUCAUGUAUAAAGCAAUGCAGUCGAAACAUCCAAUAAAAUGCAGCAAUCAACCAUAUUUCAGCAGUGUACAAACUUGCUUCACAAUUACCAAAAGUCCAGGAGUGAUGUGGAAGGAGGAAAGAAUCUAGGUUCAUCUGUAGAAUUCUACUCGUCUAAACUAGUUACAUUUAGAUUGUAAGUUUAUAACUUUCUUGGACAGAAGUCAUAUGCUCAUUUCUAAAUUCUAAUAAAUU